AACGAACGCUGGCGGCAGGCCUACACAUGCAAGUCGAACGCCCCGCAAGGGAGGUGGCGGACGGGUGAGUAACACGUGGGAACAUACCCUUCGGUUCGGAAUAACUCAGGGAAACUUGAGCUAAGACCGGAUACGUCCGCGAGGAGAAAGAUUCAUCGCCGGAGGAUUGGCCCGCGUCCGAUUAGCUAGUUGGUGAGGUAACGGCUCACCAAGGCGACGAUCGGUAGCUGGUCUGAGAGGAUGAUCAGCCACAUUGGGACUGAGACACGGCCCAAACUCCUACGGGAGGCAGCAGUGGGGAAUAUUGGACAAUGGGCGAAAGCCUGAUCCAGCCAUGCCGCGUGAGUGAUGAAGGCCCUAGGGUUGUAAAGCUCUUUCGUCAGGGACGAUAAUGACGGUACCUGAAGAAGAA
Molecule: ribosomal RNA, 412 nt
Filed under: uncultured bacterium
Lineage: Bacteria
Description: bacterial SSU rRNA
Rfam family: Bacterial small subunit ribosomal RNA
Source: RNAcentral